Lotus japonicus is the source of this 1028-nucleotide long non-coding RNA. RefSeq lists it as uncharacterized. The record is from RefSeq and is a predicted model, not a curated record. NCBI's taxonomy places the organism in Eukaryota, Viridiplantae, Streptophyta, Magnoliopsida, Fabales, Fabaceae. The transcript is spliced from 6 exons.
AUUAGAAGCUGAAACAGAUUUAGGAACUUAACCUAACACUAAACACUUAUCGUGAAAGCCCCCCACACCAUUUCAUCUUCUCUGCCGUCGUAGCGCUGCGUCCUCUCCACCCUCGUCGUCAACGAACCCUUGUGCGUGCCUUCUUCACAAACCUUCCUUGUGCUGCGAUUGUGGAGCGAAACGGGGACACGUGAAGCCCUCCUGCUCUCAACUUCGUGAAGCCCUCCUCCCCACCCUCGUCGUUGACGACCGGGGACACGUGUUCCGUCCUCUCCACCUUCGCCGCCGACAAACCCUUGCGCUAUGCUCUCAGACCCUUGCCCUAACGUUGCUGGUGCCUUCGGUGAAACCUUAAGCUAGGAUCUCAACACCCACCCCUACACAAAUCUGUUGCUUCACGAAGAACACCACCGCGGCGACAACAUCAGUAACCACGAUGGAGUCCUCUAAAGUUGCAAGCAGAGCAGGCCAUAAUGUCUCUAACAAGAGCUUGACGAAGAAGCUGACUUGAAGCAACUGCUAUCAACAAUUUCAGUUCAGGUUGAGUCUCACAUGCAUGCUGCAGUGCAACAACUUCUAGUAAAUCCAAAGUAGAAAUAGUACCCGUUUCUACCAAGGGAAUUCUAGCCAAGUUAGUCACAGUGGUACAGUAGAGCUCCUUAUGAAGAGAAGAGUGGUUGUGCAAAGGGGGCUUCCUCUUCUUGGAAUCUUCUACCCAUGUUCCUCAACAUGAAGAGAAUUGAUGCUCAUGACUGAAGGAGGAGUCUCAACUUCAACCACUAAUUCAUGUGGUGAAAGGGAUAUGUACUAAGACUCAAUACUGAGAUACUUCAAGCUGCUAGGCCUCAAGUAUAUUGAUUACUCCAUUGAUUAUAGAUUAAGGUGUUCAUGAAAAUCUAAUGUAAUUCUUGAAUUCAAUUGAUAUGCUCUGGUCUCCUAGAUUUGUCAUUUUCCUUUAUUCAGAGAUACGCUGGCCUUGUAUUGAAACUAGAUAUUAUAUAUUAUAUUUUUUCCCAGUACUUUCACAA